CCCGUAGGGCGCAAGCGUUGUCCGGAAUUAUUGGGCUUAAAGAGCUCGUAGGCGGUCUGUUGCGUCCGCUGUGAAAACUCGGGGCUUAACCCAGAGCCGCCACUCGAUACUGCUGUGACUAGAGUGCGGUAGGGGAGCGGGGAAUUCCUGGUGUAGCGGUGAAAUGCGCAGAUAUCAGGAGGAACACCAGUGGCGAAGGCGCCGCUCUGGGCCGUGACUGACGCUGAGGAGCGAAAGCGUGGGUAGCAAACAGG
Molecule: ribosomal RNA, 254 nt
Filed under: uncultured bacterium
Lineage: Bacteria
Description: partial 16S ribosomal RNA
Rfam family: Bacterial small subunit ribosomal RNA
Source: RNAcentral